Molecule: ribosomal RNA, 301 nt
Filed under: uncultured bacterium
Lineage: Bacteria
Description: partial 16S ribosomal RNA
Rfam family: Bacterial small subunit ribosomal RNA
Source: RNAcentral
CAGUAGCCACGGGAAUACGGAGGGUGCAAGCGUUAAUCGGAAUUACUGGGCGUAAAGCGCACGCAGGCGGUCUGUCAAGUCGGAUGUGAAAUCCCCGGGCUCAACCUGGGAACUGCAUUCGAAACUGGCAGGCUAGAGUCUUGUAGAGGGGGGUAGAAUUCCAGGUGUAGCGGUGAAAUGCGUAGAGAUCUGGAGGAAUACCGGUGGCGAAGGCGGCCCCCUGGACAAAGACUGACGCUCAGGUGCGAAAGCGUGGGGAGCAAACAGGAUUAGAUACCCCGGUAGUCCCUGUCUCUUAUAA